GGAUUGCCCCAGUAACGGCGAGUGAAGCGGCAACAGCUCAAAUUUGAAAUCUGGCUCUCGGGCCCGAGUUGUAAUUUGUAGAGGAUGCUUUUGGUGAGGUGCCUUCCGAGUUCCCUGGAACGGGACGCCAUAGAGGGUGAGAGCCCCGUCUGGUUGGACACCGACCCUCUGUAAAGCUCCUUCGACGAGUCGAGUAGUUUGGGAAUGCUGCUCUAAAUGGGAGGUAUAUGUCUUCUAAAGCUAAAUACCGGCCAGAGACCGAUAGCGCACAAGUAGAGUGAUCGAAAGAUGAAAAGAACUUUGAAAAGAGAGUUAAAAAGUACGUGAAAUUGUUGAAAGGGAAGCGCUUGUGACCAGACUUGGGCUUGGUUGAUCAUCCGGGGUUCUCCCCGGUGCACUCUUCCGGCCCAGGCCAGCAUCAGUUCGCCCUGGGGGACAAAGGCUUCGGGAAUGUGGCUCUCUCCGGGGAGUGUUAU
RNAcentral lists this ribosomal RNA (476 nucleotides) under Fusarium solani. RNAcentral describes it as "eukaryotic LSU rRNA". It matches the Rfam family "Eukaryotic large subunit ribosomal RNA", at positions 72 to 559 of the family's 3401-position model. Lineage: Eukaryota; Fungi; Ascomycota; Sordariomycetes; Hypocreales; Nectriaceae. The record is from RNAcentral.